UGGAUCUUUUUGCGGUCUGGGCUUGCUGUUUCUCGCAAUAGUAGUCAGGAAGCCCUUACCCCAAAAAGUAUCUA
This is a microRNA precursor of Chinchilla lanigera (long-tailed chinchilla), 74 nucleotides long. Lineage: Eukaryota; Metazoa; Chordata; Mammalia; Rodentia; Chinchillidae. The record is from Ensembl.